CUGCAAGGCAAAAACAUGCUAACUGACAAGAAAAUCAUGGGUUUUAUACAAGGAUAACAAGUGCUGGGUUGCUUAGCUAUGAGGAAGGCUAGGCUCACUGCAUACCAGAAGAUGUACAGCGUUGGAGAAUUCAGGGAUUUUUAUCAACAAUCAAACUAUAUUUGUGGAAAUUUUGUGCAUAAGUGCCAAAGAUGGCUGACAUCGGACCACAUUCUAUUUAACUCAACUGAAUGACACCAAGCUCUCAUCCUAAAACUUAUAGUUACAUCCACCCUUCUGAAAUAUUUAAUUAUUCUCCAAUACACUGGAGGUAAUAGGUAUAAAAAGAAUGAGCAUGUGCAACUUAGUAUCUCAUAUCUAAUUUUGUGUCCCAAGUUCAUUCUUCCCCUGAAUGUCCCAUGUCUACCAGGUGCAGGAUUAUCUGGAUGGGUCAGUUCAAAACAAUUUCAGGGAAUAAAUUGUGUAGGGGACUCAAUUUUCUGAGACAGAAACAUAAUGUGAAUAACUCCUUUGUUAGAAAAUAAUUUCAGUGACAGAAAGCCUUUCAGUUCAUAAAGAAAACUUACAUAUCAACAAGCCUAGCUCCUCACUAGUCCCAGUGAAUGCUUACAUCAAUCAGCUCUACAAUAUCCAGUAAAGGACUUUCCAAUUCGCCUUUGAAUAAACUGAGGUAUUGGAAACAUCUAAGAAAAUGGUUUUUAAUUCUUCCUAAUCUUCAGGGAGUUCUUCCUUAUAUUGAGCUGAUAUCUGCCCUCUGUAACUUUCAACUAAUUAUUCAAAUCUCUCAAGUGAUUAUAAUUAAUUCCAUCUUAUAAGGAAUUUUUCUCAGCUUCCAGCCUCUUGAAAAUACUCUGAUAUUUUCUCUAAUAUUCAAGUGGAAAUGUAAAUGGGUAACGUAAGAGUCUGUGGGGUUAGGAGGGUGGAGGAAAGGUAAGGGAAAGCUAAUGAGAAAUAACCAAAGCAAGAAAAAGAAUUUUAUUUUCUUCAAGUUCUUUGUACAUCCAAAGUGGAAGAUUCCUAAAAUAAAUUCCCCAUACCACAUUUUAAAAAUUAGGUUAGCAAGCUUACUUUUUAAUUUAUUUAGAAGCCAACUACUUCCAUUUAUUAUUUCUUUCCAGAAUAGAACAAUUAUCACUAAUUGUUUGUCAUUAUAAUGCCAAACUAUGUUAAUAGAUGCCUAUUUUUUUAAAGGCUAAUUGCAAUCAUGAAACCAAAUAUCUAAUUAGUUUUAGAGCUUUGGACCACAUGCAUCAAUAUUUGAAUCAUUCAGGUGUAUAUUUGCUUUCUGCUUUUUUGUCUCUUCAAAAGAAGUAUUAUAUGCAUUCUGUUUAUAAUUUCU
RNAcentral lists this long non-coding RNA (1339 nucleotides) under Homo sapiens (human). RNAcentral describes it as "non-protein coding lnc-SERPINI1-23:19". The record is from RNAcentral. Lineage: Eukaryota; Metazoa; Chordata; Mammalia; Primates; Hominidae.